RNAcentral lists this long non-coding RNA (535 nucleotides) under Mytilus galloprovincialis (Mediterranean mussel). The record is from RNAcentral. Lineage: Eukaryota; Metazoa; Mollusca; Bivalvia; Mytilida; Mytilidae.
AAAUCAACAAAACAGCAGAAACACUGCAGUACAACAAAUACCCCAAACAACAAUGCAAAAACAUAAAAUAAAAAAUACUGAACUCCGAGGAAAUUCAAAACGGAAAUCCCUAAUCAAAUAAGAAGCCACAUAUGGUUAAUACCACUAUGCGAGUAAAAUAAUUUUGUCGUUCAAAGUAUUUUUAAAUUCAUAAUAAAACAAUAACAUAAUGACAUAUAAUAGAACAAUAACAUAAUGGCAACACACACAGAAACGAACUAUAAGAUAACAACUGCCAUUUUCCUGACAUGGCACAGCCAUGCAAAUGUUGUAUAUAACACUAUAAUGACAAAAUUGCAUGACAGGACUACAGUCAAAUAAUGCAAGAACAUUCAGGACAGAGAUAUACACAAAUAAACAAUACAAUAUGACAUUUCGACAUGCUAAUAGUUAACAAGGGUACAAGGCUUAUAAUUUAAUACACCGUACGUGCGUUUCUUCCAAAAGCAAUGAUAAACUUACAACAUAAAAUCAAAAAGACCUAGAAAUAUCCCAC